This 89-nucleotide transfer RNA is filed under the name Enhygromyxa salina. RNAcentral's name for it is "tRNA-Cys". Lineage: Bacteria; Pseudomonadati; Myxococcota; Nannocystales; Nannocystaceae. The record is from RNAcentral.
CUGGCGAUGGUCGGCUGGGCGAUGGCCUGGCUGCAGCCCGAGCGCGAGCUCCGGACGAUCGGUCGCGGUCGCGCGCGCGGGCUGCUGGA